GCAGUGGUGGUUCAGUAGUAGAAUUCUUGUCUUCCAUGCAGGAGAUCAGGGUACAAUUCACUGUCAAUGUA
This 71-nucleotide transfer RNA is filed under the name Loxodonta africana (African savanna elephant). It matches the Rfam family "tRNA". Rfam says of the family: Transfer RNA (tRNA) molecules are approximately 80 nucleotides in length. The record is from Rfam by way of RNAcentral. Lineage: Eukaryota; Metazoa; Chordata; Mammalia; Proboscidea; Elephantidae.